GACGAACGCUGGCGGCGUGCCUAAUACAUGCAAGUCGAACGCACAGUUUAUACCGUAGCUUGCUACACCAUAGACUGUGAGUUGCGAACGGGUGAGUAACGCGUAGGUAACCUGCCUGGUAGCGGGGGAUAACUAUUGGAAACGAUAGCUAAUACCGCAUAAUAUUAAUUAUUGCAUGAUAAUUAAUUGAAAGGUGCAAUUGCACCACUACCAGAUGGACCUGCGUUGUAUUAGCUAGUAGGUGAGGUAACGGCUCACCUAGGCGAAGAUACAUAGCCGACCUGAGAGGGUGAUCGGCCACACUGGGACUGAGACACGGCCCAGACUCCUACGGGGGGCAGCAGGAGGGAAUCUUCGGCAAUGGACGAAAGUCUGACCGAGCAACGCCGCGUGAGUGAAGAAGGUUUUCGGAUCGUAAAGCUCUGUUGUAAGAGAAGAACGGGUGUGAGAGUGGAAAGUUCACACUGUGACGGUAUCUUACCAGAAAGGGACGGCUAACUACGUG
Molecule: ribosomal RNA, 505 nt
Filed under: uncultured bacterium
Lineage: Bacteria
Description: partial 16S ribosomal RNA
Rfam family: Bacterial small subunit ribosomal RNA
Source: RNAcentral